UAGGCGUAUACUGAAAAGCCUAAAUAGAGUAGGUA
Tenacibaculum mesophilum is the source of this 35-nucleotide non-coding RNA. The record is from Rfam. NCBI's taxonomy places the organism in Bacteria, Pseudomonadati, Bacteroidota, Flavobacteriia, Flavobacteriales, Flavobacteriaceae.